This 497-nucleotide ribosomal RNA is filed under the name uncultured bacterium. RNAcentral describes it as "partial 16S ribosomal RNA". It matches the Rfam family "Bacterial small subunit ribosomal RNA", at positions 28 to 507 of the family's 1533-position model. The record is from RNAcentral.
GAUGAACGCUGGCGGCGUGCCUAAUACAUGCAAGUCGAGCGAACAGAUGCGGCGCUUGCUCCUCUGACGUUAGCCGCGGACGGGUGAGUAACACGUGGAUAACCUACCUAUAAGACUGGGAUCACUUCGGGAAACCGGAGCUAAUCCCGGAUAAUAUAUUGAACCGCAUGGUUCAAUAGUGAAAGACGGUUUUUCUGUCACUUCUAGAUGGAUCUCCGCCGCAUUAGCUAGUUGGUGGGGUAACGGCUUACCACGGCAAGGAUGCGUAGCCGACCGCAGAGAGGGGUCGCCGACCUGGGAGGUGAACCAGCGUCAAGACGCCUGCGAGAGGCCGCAGUAGGGAACGUGCCGCAAUGGUGGAAAGCCUGACGGAGCAGCGGCACGUGAGUGAUGAAGGUCUUGGGAGCGUAAAGCUGUGUUAUGAGUUGAGAACAGAUGUGUAAGUAACCGUGGACUUAUUGACGGUACUUGGUCAGGAAGCCACGGCUAACUACGUG